Molecule: ribosomal RNA, 520 nt
Filed under: uncultured Acaulospora
Lineage: Eukaryota; Fungi; Glomeromycota; Glomeromycetes; Diversisporales; Acaulosporaceae
Description: SSU rRNA
Rfam family: Eukaryotic small subunit ribosomal RNA
Source: RNAcentral
AGCAGCCGCGGUAAUUCCAGCCCCAAUAGCGUAUAUUAAAGUUGUUGCAGUUAAAAAGCUCGUAGUUGAAUUUCGGGGUCUGUCCGUCGGUCGGGCUUCACGGUCCGUACUGGUGUGAUGGGUUCCUACCUUCUGAAUAACCGGCAUGCCAUUCAGUUGGUGCGCCGGGGGAGCAGAGCUAUUACCUUGAAAAAAUUAGAGUGCUUAAAGCAGGCUAGUGCUUGAAUAGAUUAGCAUGGAAUAAUAAAAUAGGACGGCAUGGUUCUAUUUUGUUGGUUUCUAGGAUCACCGUAAUGAUUAAUAGGGAUAGUUGGGGGCACUAGUAUUCAAUUGUCAGAGGUGAAAUUCUUGGAUUUAUUGAAGACUAACUUCUGCGAAAGCAUUUGCCAAGGAUGUUUUCAUUAAUCAAGAACGAAAGUUAGGGGAUCGAAGACGAUCAGAUACCGUCGUAGUCUUAACCAUAAACUAUGCCGACUAGGGAUCGGACGAUGUUAAUUUUUUAAUGACUCGUUCGGCGCCU